CCCCAACCCGGGUCCGGCUCCACGCGGCGCCCCCGCCCCGCCCUCCCGCCACCCCCCUCCCAUCCCUCAGAUGUCAAGCGUGAGCUGCGGAGAGCCGUGCCGGGACGGCCUGGUGGCGCUCCAGGGACGAGCAGCUUUGUGCCGUCCGUUCACUCCGACCAAACACUGAUGGACCCUCUGCUCGGGCUCCGCCAGGCGCUGAGCACAGCGAGGACGAUUCCCCAGUCCCGUGUCCCAUCUUGUCCAGACACAAUAAACAAUGAACGUUGCGAAUCACUGCGCCGCGUGGUGUGUGAGAAGCUGAUUCGUGCUCUGAUAAAAAGGGCAGAGUCCGGGGCUCCGGAGGCAGGAGGACUGGCCAGUGGUAGUUAGCGGGUGAGACGUGAUAGCGGAGGGAGCAGCCGUGGGGAGAGCUCGGAGAAGCUGCCGGGACCACAGAAGGGAGGCCCGCGAAGUGGGCCCGGGCGGGGAGCGGCACGGGAGGGUCCUGAGCAGGGUGACAGGCGCUGGCUGAUAGGAUCCCCCGGGCGGGAGCGGGUGAACAGAAUGGAGCAGCGGGGGCGGGCCCGGGGGACCAGUGGGGAGGCCUCUUUGGCCAACCCCCCUUCAGGGACCCCCGUGGUGCCGGCUGGGGUGGGGCAGCGCAGGUGCGGGAAGCGAUCCGCUCCUGGUAGAUUAUGAAGACAGAAGCGAGGGGGGCGCGGUUGUUGAGGAGUUGGAUGUGAGAUGCCAGGUAAAAGGGGAAACCAGGAAGGGUUCCUGGAAGCCAGGGGAAGAAGGCGCAUCCAGGAGGACGCCUGUGUGGAGCGAGGUGGGAGUCACCGGUGACCCGGAGGAUAGCAGCGCUGGGGGGCGGGGCAGCUGGAGGCGGUUUAACGAGAAGGCGAGCUGAGUGACGGCCGGCGAGCACCAAGCGGGAAACAAAAGUGGAGGCAGCUGGGAAGAAGGCCACCGAGACAAGGUUGUUUUGUUUUUUCUUUUUACGAGGGGAGAAAUAACCCGCGUGUUUACAGGAUCCGGAAAGGACUUUGCAGAAAGGAAGAAUGGAUGGUGCCAGAGAGCUUGGUCUCAGCCAGUGUCGGCCCUUCUGCACACACAUGCCUACCUGCCAAAGACCACUAGAUAUGAGGACACCGCCCAGCAGAGGAUCCCAAAUCUGGGUGGGUGGGAGCACGCCACUAAAGCUCCUGGGAAGGAAUUGGACAAGCAGCUUGGAGCCCCCUUGGAGCGGGAUCAGCCCCUCCUACCCUCAUCUGCAGCUGCUCUUGGGGCCUGCUGGAAGAUUGUCAUAAUAAACACAUGCAGGGCUUCCCUGGUGGCGCAGUGGUUAGGAAUCCGCCUGCCAAUGCAGGGGACACGGGUUCAAGCCCUGGUCUGGGAAGAUCCCACAUGCCGCGGAGCAACUAAGUCCAUGCACCACAACUACUGAGCCCGCGUGCCACAACUACUGAAGCCUGCACGCCUAGAGGCCAUGCUCCGCAACAAGAGAAGCCACCGCAAUGAGAAGACCGCACACCGCAACGAAGAGUAACCCCCACUCGCCACAACUAGAGAAAGCACGCACGCAGCAACGAAGACCCAACGCAGCCAAAAACAAAUAAAUAAAAAAAGAGAGAGAGAGAGAAAAACCUGUACCUUGCAGCCCUCACUGGGCCCUGGUGCAUGCUGGCACACCCUACUCCUGCCCCUCGCAGGCCCAGGCAGGCCCAGACACAGGAUGCAUGCUCCUCUCCUCGUGUGCACAGGAGGGUGGAGCUGGACAGGGAGCUCCCUUGGUUCUGUCCAGCCCAGGUCAGCCCCGUCCCCUGCCAUCAGUCCUGCACAAACACACAGGGCCAGAGCCGGGGAAAGGAAACAGGCAGGGCUGUGAUCCCUAACUUAGGAAGGCAGGUGUAUCAGUGUCCUAGGGCAGCCACAACAAAUGACCACAGACUGGGGGGCUUAAAACCACAAAUUUCUUCUCUCACAGUCCAGGAGGCCAGAAGUCCAAAAUCUAGGUUGACAGCUGUGCUUUCUCUGAAAUCUGUAGAGGGAAUCCUUUGUUUCCGCUUCUGGUUUUUGGUCCUUCAGUCUUCCGUGGCUUAUGGCAGCAUCACCCCAAUCUCUGCCUCGGUCUUCUUAUG
Long non-coding RNA from Orcinus orca (killer whale), 2123 nucleotides. RefSeq lists it as uncharacterized. The record is from RefSeq and is a predicted model, not a curated record. The transcript is spliced from 2 exons. Lineage: Eukaryota; Metazoa; Chordata; Mammalia; Artiodactyla; Delphinidae.